CACUCGUGGCAAGGGAUAUUUCGACUCUCGCAUCGAUGAAGAACGUAGUAAAAUGUGAUACCUGAUGUGACUUGUAGAAUCCCGUGAACCAUAUAUCAAGUCUUUGAACGUAAGUUGUGUCCGAAAUCAUUAGACUGAAGGUACGUUUGUGGGGACC
This 157-nucleotide ribosomal RNA is filed under the name Nicotiana attenuata. RNAcentral describes it as "rRNA 5_8S_rRNA". It matches the Rfam family "5.8S ribosomal RNA". Rfam says of the family: 5.8S ribosomal RNA (5.8S rRNA) is a component of the large subunit of the eukaryotic ribosome. It is transcribed by RNA polymerase I as part of the 45S precursor that also contains 18S and 28S rRNA. The record is from Rfam by way of RNAcentral. Lineage: Eukaryota; Viridiplantae; Streptophyta; Magnoliopsida; Solanales; Solanaceae.